CUGCUUAAUCUUCAGUCUUGCUCGACGAUUUUGGAACCAUGUCGCCACCUGACGAGGUUGUAGACCAAGCUCCUCAGCCAGCUGCUGUUUCAUCCUGGACUCUGGUCUUGACUCCGACUCAAACAUGAAUUCCAGCACACAAUCUUCAGGAGGCUAGCUAAAUCCUUCUCGAACAGUCAAUUUUCUGCUCCAUUCUUACAUGGAUGUAAAUACCCCUGAUAAAACAGACAGGUUAUUCACCGGAUUUUCAGAUUUCAUGGUACAAUGAAUCAUUCAACAUUUGGGAAUUGGGGAUCUGUAACUUUUCCAAAAGACUAACACGUUGAUUAGAAGUCAUUUAUCCAGAGAGGGUGGCAACCUUUAAUCAUUGCUAACGACAAAGCCAUGGCCGAUGGGUCUUCGUUAAACCAAUCUCAAAAUGCCACGGCUGUGACAUGUCAAAACAAGGGUCUCCUUGAAUGAUUUCAGGAAUUGGAACGUGGCUCUUGAGUUGUGGUUGUGGGAACGAUGGUCCAGCUGAAGCUUGUCUUGAAGCGUUUGAAGAAUGCAGUGGACUCCAUUUCAGGUAGACAAAGCUGAUUCUUGAAGAUUUCGAUCGUCAGUCUUUGUUGUCCAACCGUAACCAAGUCUCCUUCAAUUACAGUUUCAUUUUCUUGCUA
Long non-coding RNA from Mangifera indica (mango), 659 nucleotides. RefSeq lists it as uncharacterized. The transcript has 3 exons. NCBI's taxonomy places the organism in Eukaryota, Viridiplantae, Streptophyta, Magnoliopsida, Sapindales, Anacardiaceae. The record is from RefSeq and is a predicted model, not a curated record.